This 467-nucleotide ribosomal RNA is filed under the name uncultured bacterium. Its description in RNAcentral is "partial 16S ribosomal RNA". It matches the Rfam family "Bacterial small subunit ribosomal RNA", at positions 28 to 507 of the family's 1533-position model. The record is from RNAcentral.
GACGAACGCUGGCGGCGUGCUUAACACAUGCAAGUCGAACGGAAAGGCCCUGCUUUUGUGGGGUGCUCGAGUGGCGAACGGGUGAGUAACACGUGAGUAACCUGCCCUUGACUUUGGGAUAACUUCAGGAAACUGGGGCUAAUACCGGAUAGGAGCUCCUGCUGCAUGGUGGGGGUUGGAAAGUUUCGGCGGUUGGGGUGGGCUCGCGGCUUAUCAGCUUGUUGGUGGGGUAGUGGCUUACCAAGGCUUUGACGGGUAGCCGGCCUGAGAGGGUGACCGGCCACAUUGGGACUGAGAUACGGCCCAGACUCCUACGGGAGGCAGCAGUGGGGAAUAUUGCACAAUGGGCGGAAGCCUGAUGCAGCAACGCCGCGUGCGGGAUGACGGCCUUCGGGUUGUAAACCGCUUUCGCCUGUGACGAAGCGUGAGUGACGGUAAUGGGUAAAGAAGCACCGGCUAACUACGUG